AACGAACGCUGGCGGCAGGCUUAACACAUGCAAGUCGAACGGGUGUAGCAAUACAUCAGUGGCAGACGGGUGAGUAACACGUGGGAACCUUCCUCGAUGCACGGAACAACUCAGGGAAACUUGAGCUAAUACCGUAUACGUCCGAGAGGAGAAAGAUUUAUCGCAUUGAGACGGGCCCGCGUCGGAUUAGCUAGUUGGUAAGGUAACGGCUUACCAAGGCGACGAUCCGUAGCUGAUCUGAGAGGAUGAUCAGCCACACUGGGACCGAGACACGGCACAGACUCAUACGAGAGGCAGCAGUGGGGAAUCUUGGACAAUGUGGGCAAGCCUGAUCCAGCCAUGCCGCGUGAGUGAAGAAGGCCUUCGGGUUGUAAAGCUCUUUUGUCAGGGACGAUAAUGACGGUACCUGAAGAAUAAGCCCCGGCAAACUUCGUGCCAGCCGCCGCAGUAA
Molecule: ribosomal RNA, 451 nt
Filed under: uncultured bacterium
Lineage: Bacteria
Description: partial 16S ribosomal RNA
Rfam family: Bacterial small subunit ribosomal RNA
Source: RNAcentral